CUAAAGGAAAGUGUUCAAUUUAGGGUUUAAAACCCUAAUGCUGACUGGAUGGAAAAGAGUUCAGUUUAGGGUUUAAAACCCUAAUGCUGACUGGAUGGAAAAGAGUUCAGUUUAGGGUUUAAAACCCUAAUGCUGACUCUGACUACAGGAAAAAGUUCAGUUUAGGGUUUAAAACCCUAAUGCUGACUGAAUGGAAAAGAGUCCAGUUUAGGGUUUAAAACCCUAAUGCUGACUAAAGGAAAAAGUUCAGUUUAGGGUUUAAAACCCUAAUGCUGACUAAAGGAAAGAGUUCAGUUUAGGGUUUAAAACCCUAAUGAUGACAGAAUGGAAAAAGUUCAGUUUAGGGUUUAAAACCUUAAUGCUGACUAAAGGAAAGAAUUC
Molecule: long non-coding RNA, 381 nt
Filed under: Nicotiana tabacum (common tobacco)
Lineage: Eukaryota; Viridiplantae; Streptophyta; Magnoliopsida; Solanales; Solanaceae
Description: long non-coding RNA (NTAB_LNC006161)
Source: RNAcentral